CCUACGGGAGGCAGCAGUGGGGAAUAUUGCACAAUGGGGGAAACCCUGAUGCAGCGACGCCGCGUGAGUGAAGAAGUAACUCGUUAUGGAAAGCUCUAUCAGCAGGGAAGAAAAUGACGGUACCUGAGUAAGAAGCCCCGUCUAACUACGUGCCAGCAGCCGAGGUAAUACGUAUGGUGCAAGCGUUAUCCGGAUUUACUGGGUGUAAAGGGAGCGCAGGCGGCACGGCAAGCCUGAUGUGAAAGCCCGCGGCCCAACCGCGGGACUGCAUGGGGAACUACCGGGAUGGAGUGCCGGAGAGGUGGGCGGAAUUGCUAGUGUAGCGGUGAAAUGCGUAGAUAUUAGGAGGAACACCAGUGGGGAAGGCGGCCUACUGGAAGGUGACUGACGCGGAGGAUCGAAAGGGUGGGGAGCA
RNAcentral lists this ribosomal RNA (415 nucleotides) under uncultured bacterium. RNAcentral describes it as "partial 16S ribosomal RNA". It matches the Rfam family "Bacterial small subunit ribosomal RNA", at positions 338 to 770 of the family's 1533-position model. The record is from RNAcentral.